GACGAACGCUGGCGGCGUGCUUAACACAUGCAAGUCGAACGGAAAGGCCUGCUUUCCCUUGUGGAUUGCGGGUACUCGAGUGGCGAACGGGUGAGUAACACGUGAGUGAUCUGCCCCCAACUUGGGUAUAAGCCUGGGAAACUGGGUCUAAUUCCCGAUAGGACUGCAGGGUGGUGCCUGUGGUGGAAAACGAUUUUCUAGUGGUUGGGGAUGAGCUCGCGGCCUAUCAGCUUGUUGGUGGGGUAAUGGCCUACCAAGGCGGCGACGGGUAGCCGGCCUGGGAGGGUGGACGGGCACAUUGGGGCUGAGAUUCCGGCCAGAAUCCUACGGGAAGCAGGCGUGGGGGAUAUUGGCCCAGGGGGGGAAGCCUGGUGGAGGGACCGCCCGGUGGGGAUGACGGCCUUCGGGUUGUAAACUCCUUUCGACCGCGAGGAAGCCACCUGGUUGGAAGGGUGGUGACGGUAGUGGUAGAAGAAGCACCGGCUAACUACGUG
RNAcentral lists this ribosomal RNA (494 nucleotides) under uncultured bacterium. RNAcentral describes it as "partial 16S ribosomal RNA". It matches the Rfam family "Bacterial small subunit ribosomal RNA", at positions 28 to 507 of the family's 1533-position model. The record is from RNAcentral.